Non-coding RNA from Macaca mulatta (Rhesus monkey), 435 nucleotides. NCBI's taxonomy places the organism in Eukaryota, Metazoa, Chordata, Mammalia, Primates, Cercopithecidae. The record is from RefSeq and is a predicted model, not a curated record.
CCUCCACUUCUGAAGUGCUUAAAAUUUAUUUGGAGUCAGAGGUGUCAGAACUUCUAUGCACAAAAAAAUAAGUAACAAUGGAGCAGUGGAUAUGUUGACGGACAAAUGGGAGAUUUGGAUGGUAACGUUCCACAAACCCACACCUGUGUUAUCAACCAUACCUUAGGACAGAAGGAACGAGUUUGCGGAAAGGAUGAAAGAUAUUGACUGCAACUGAUAAGACAGCCCCUAUAGGAAUUAAGGAUGUCGAGGACAGAAUAACUGUGUGGAGAUGUGCUAAUGUGGCAGGCAUGUUGGCACUUGCCAGUAAUUCACACAUGCUGACAGAGAGACUACAGACGUAUUCUCAACUAAAGAGCUGUCUUGAGAGCUACAUCAGGCUCCUUGAAUGGAAGCAGCACUGUUCACAAUAGCAAAGACUUGGAACCAACCCAA